UACGAGGGGGGCAAGCGUUGUUCGGAAUUAUUGGGCGUAAAGGGCGCGUAGGCGGUGCGGUAAGUCACCUGUGAAACCUCUAGGCUCAACCUAGAGCCUGCAGGCGAAACUGCCGUGCUUGAGGGUGGGAGAGGUGCGUGGAAUUCCUGGUGUAGCGGUGAAAUGCGUAGAUAUCAGGAGGAACACCUGUGGCGAAAGCGGCGCACUGGACCACAACUGACGCUGAGGCGCGAAAGCUAGGGGAGCAAACAGG
This 253-nucleotide ribosomal RNA is filed under the name uncultured bacterium. RNAcentral describes it as "partial 16S ribosomal RNA". It matches the Rfam family "Bacterial small subunit ribosomal RNA", at positions 524 to 776 of the family's 1533-position model. The record is from RNAcentral.